AUUGAACGCUGGCGGAAUGCUUUACACAUGCAAGUCGAACGGCAGCACGGACUUCGGUCUGGUGGCGAGUGGCGAACGGGUGAGUAAUGUAUCGGAACGUGCCCAGUCGUGGGGGAUAACGUAGUGAAAAUUACGCUAAUACCGCAUACGAUCUAUGGAUGAAAGCGGGGGAUCGCAAGACCUCGCGCGAUUGGAUCGGCCGAUAUCAGAUUAGGUAGUUGGUGGGGUAAAGGCACACCAGGCCAACGAUCUGUAGCUGGUCUGAGAGGACGACCAGCCACACUGGACCUGAGACACGGUCCAGACUCCUAAGGGAGGCAGCAGUGGUGGAUUUUGGACAAUGAGCGAAAGCACGAUCCAGCCAUUCCGCGUGCAGGAUGAAGGCCCUCGGGUUGUAAACUGCUUUUGUACAGAACGAAAAGGUUUCUACUAAUACUAGGAGCUCAUGACGGUACUGUAAGAAUAAGCACCGGCUAACUACGUGCCAGCCGCCGCCGUAA
RNAcentral lists this ribosomal RNA (500 nucleotides) under uncultured bacterium. RNAcentral's name for it is "partial 16S ribosomal RNA". It matches the Rfam family "Bacterial small subunit ribosomal RNA", at positions 30 to 523 of the family's 1533-position model. The record is from RNAcentral.